CAGUAGGGAAUCUUCCACAAUGGGCGAAAGCCUGAUGGAGCAACGCCGCGUGUGUGAUGAAGGCUUUCGGGUCGGUAAAGCACUGUUGUNUGGGAAGAACAGCUAGAAUAGGAAAUGAUUUUAGUUUUGACGGUACCAUACCAGAAAGGGACGGCUAAAUACGUGCCAG
This 169-nucleotide ribosomal RNA is filed under the name uncultured bacterium. RNAcentral's name for it is "partial 16S rRNA". It matches the Rfam family "Bacterial small subunit ribosomal RNA", at positions 352 to 511 of the family's 1533-position model. The record is from RNAcentral.